Molecule: long non-coding RNA, 1282 nt
Organism: Electrophorus electricus (electric eel)
Lineage: Eukaryota; Metazoa; Chordata; Actinopteri; Gymnotiformes; Gymnotidae
Source: Ensembl
CUCACCAGAGUUCGCACACUUCAGUUUCCUCCUUUUUCUCCUAGUUUCAGAUCCAAAACCUCUCGUCAGUAGUGACCAAACAACUGAAACUGAAGUUGCAGACUCAGAAACAGAUCGACCAAAAGCUACACUUACAUUACAACAUGACUGGACAGACUUUUUCAAAGGACAGACUGUCACUUUUAAAUGUGACAUACUGGGAUCUGGCCAUAGAGUGUGGACAUACAACUGGUAUCAGAAUGGAGAUGAAGAUUAUCCAGUUCACUCUGCUUAUGGAACAAAUGAAUACACAUUUAAAGUGGAAGAAAAUGGUAGGUUUUCUUGCAAGGGAACCCGGAUGACCCAAGAGCACCAACUGAGCACUGAAUUCAGUAACACUGUUACACUGAAUGUGAUGGGUGAGAAUUUUGAAUCUUCAUCUCUUUGUAGAACAUUCAGUUUCAGUGUCCAGAUGAGAUACAGUUUCAUUCUGACCACUGAAUACAGAGUUUUCAAACAAAACCAGUCAUGUAAUUUAUUCUGAUACAUAACAGAUAGUGGCUGCACAGGUCACUUCAGGGACUUGUAAAUUCCAGAAAGAAGUGGAUUAAUUUAGAAAGUAGUCCAUUUGCACAUAUGACUGGCCAACUGGAAAUGUGGACCUGUUCUCUACUUACUCACCACUGAUAUGCAGCUUUAUACUAGUCUGAACAGAAGAGAUGUACAAUGUGAACUGCAUCUGGGGGAAGCAACUAGUUAAGUGAUAAAUGUUCCAUAUGGUGCUCUCAGUAGGUCAGGAAUGAACACAUUAGAGCAGAAUUGGUCUAAAUGAUAAAUAGGGUUCAACAUUUUGUACUGGUGGUAAGACAGACACACAGUAGUGACAAAGUGUUUAACCCACAGAUAAAAACACAUUGCAGAAUAUUCGUCUUUCAUUUUGUUGUGUUUCUGCCAAUCCCACUAUUUAUUUAGAGGUUCUACUGAAGCUUUCUUGUUUCUAAAGUUUUCUAGUCUUUCUAGCAGGAAAUGCAGAGCUCAUCUUUACUGCUUUUAUGUGUGAACUUUAGAGCUGCUGAUCUUAAUACACAGCACAGCAUCAUGUCCUCAGCAGAUAGAUUUUGUUGCCAGCUUUUGUCUUGACUUUGUCUGCGCUAUGGCUUCAUAUAAUUGAUUUUAAUUUGAAAUACUGUUUUAAAUCCAUCUUUGUUCAUAUAGAUGUGCAGGUCAUUGAGAAUCUGCUUGUGCCUGCUAAAUAAGUACUGUUUUCACAUGGUGACUAAAGUUGGCAAUGUUGUGUAAGUCA